AGUAGGAUAGAUAAUCGCGGGACCGCAUCUCGCGGUCGUGAGGAAAGUCCGGGCAUCACAGGGCAGGAUGCUGGAUAACGUCCAGUUGAGGCGACUCAAAGGAAAGUGCAACAGAAAGUAUACCGCCACAUCCUUCGGGAUAUGGUAAGGGUGAAAUGGCGAGGUAAGAGCUCACCGCCUGGCUGGUGACAGACAGGGCAUUGUAAACCCCAUCCGAUGCAAGACCAAGCAGAAGUGUUGACGCUGCCCGCCGAGCUUCAGGUAGGUUGCUUGAACCUUGUGGCAACAUAAGGUCUAGAUAGAUGAUUAUCCGCGACAGAACCCGGCUUAUAGUCCUACUCGU
RNAcentral lists this RNase P RNA (343 nucleotides) under uncultured Eubacterium sp. Its description in RNAcentral is "Bacterial RNase P class A". It matches the Rfam family "Bacterial RNase P class A". From Rfam's summary of the family: Ribonuclease P (RNase P) is a ubiquitous endoribonuclease, found in archaea, bacteria and eukarya as well as chloroplasts and mitochondria. Its best characterised activity is the generation of mature 5'-ends of tRNAs by cleaving the 5'-leader elements of precursor-tRNAs. Lineage: Bacteria; Bacillati; Bacillota; Clostridia; Eubacteriales; Eubacteriaceae. The record is from RNAcentral.